This 253-nucleotide ribosomal RNA is filed under the name uncultured bacterium. RNAcentral describes it as "partial 16S ribosomal RNA". It matches the Rfam family "Bacterial small subunit ribosomal RNA", at positions 524 to 776 of the family's 1533-position model. The record is from RNAcentral.
UACGUAGGGUGCGAGCGUUGUCCGGAAUUAUUGGGCGUAAAGGGCUCGUAGGCGGUUUGUCGCGUCGGGAGUGAAAACCUCGGGCUUAACUCGGGGCUUGCUUUCGAUACGGGCAGACUAGAGGUAUGCAGGGGAGAACGGAAUUCCUGGUGUAGCGGUGAAAUGCGCAGAUAUCAGGAGGAACACCGGUGGCGAAGGCGGUUCUCUGGGCCUUACCUGACACUGAGGAGCGAAAGCGUGGGGAGCGAACAGG